RNAcentral lists this small RNA (127 nucleotides) under Marmota monax (woodchuck). Lineage: Eukaryota; Metazoa; Chordata; Mammalia; Rodentia; Sciuridae. The record is from RNAcentral.
GCUGGGCAUGGUGGCGCAUGCCUGUAAUCCCAGCAGCUCAGGAGUCUGAGGCAGGAGGAUUAUGAGUUCAAAGCCUGCCUCAGCAACUUAGUGAGACCCUAAGCAACUCAGUGAGACCCUGCCUCUG